Molecule: long non-coding RNA, 259 nt
Filed under: Phoenix dactylifera (date palm)
Lineage: Eukaryota; Viridiplantae; Streptophyta; Magnoliopsida; Arecales; Arecaceae
Description: long non-coding RNA (PDAC_LNC003356)
Source: RNAcentral
CAUUAAGAUAUCGCCUUAUAUAGCUUCCAUAUUUUAAAGAAAAAUAAAUGAUAAUAUUAAUGUCUUUAACUUAAUUUACCUUCCAUAUAUAGCUUCCACCCAUGAGGAAAAUGGAGAAAGAAAGAAGGCAUGAUAUUAAAAAAAAUGUUUUGUUAACAGUUGAAAAAACAGAGAUAACUAUUAGGAUGGAGUUGCCUAACCCUAGAGUUCAAGCUAUAUAUAAGAGCUAUCUAGAGUCUUAUAAGUGAAGCUGCUUGUA